AGGGUCGUGUUCACAUAGACCUUACCCCUAUCUUGGGUAGGUAGAGAGGCUAUUUCUGAUAGACCCUCUUAUAUCCUAUGCUUUUAAUGGCUAAGAUGUGAACCUAUUUGGAUGAGUUAAUAAGCUGUCGAAAUUCAAUAAAUAUUUGCUGUUGUCCUUUUGGUUAUAAAUUAUCUGUAUUUUUGAGGAAAUGUUUAACUUACUUUUUGGUUUGGGGAUGGGGGUGGGGAAGGACCAACACUUGAUACUGUAAUCUUGCUUAUAGGAUUUUGCUACUUGAGCCAGUUUCUUCAGCAUGGUGUUGGUCAAUAAUAAAUAUUAAUUUUGAGAUGUAGCAUCGAUGGAUUGUUGAAGGCUUGGAGUUAUCUUUUGGUAGGUUAAUUUAGCAAUUAAAUGAACAUAUUGACCAAUUCCUGCAAACAGGCUUCCCUCACAUGUUCUAUGAAUGGAUCAUUCUCAUUCAAAACUUACCAGACAGAAGUGUCAAAUUGUUCUCAUUUUUAUUGUCAAGCAAUGCAAACUAUAUUAUCUCUUUCUACAGAAAUACAGUUCUACUUUUUAUUUUCUUCAUUGGUGUAUUUUUUGUUGUGUCUGGCUCAAACAGGUUUUUAAGCGCUUACUGUGUUAAGAGUAAUUUCAAAUUAUCCAAAAAAGAUUUAAAAAAUAUUUUUUAACUUUUAGUAAUUAGAUUCUUGUCAUUCUGAAAAGUUUUCGAGAUUUUACUCCAUACUUGUGAUGCCAUUCUUUCGUCAUCAGGUCAAAGAUAUGAUGGAUCUGCAUUCUGCACAUAUGGCAUACCUGGAUGACUCCGUGCACAUAUGCUUCCUGUCUGAGGAAACUCAACAUAUUGCCAGCAUUAUAAGAAGCAUCUUGCAAUCUGCGGUGGAUUUUCGAUCUUGUCUGAGUGGAGACAUUUCACAGGUGCUUCACAUAAGGAAAACAUUUUCUGAGAAUAUCAAAGAGUUGUAUAUAUGUUAUCUUAAGUCGCCCAGACAUGUAGAAUUCGGCCUGUCAUGUUUCUGGGAGCGUCUGAAUUAUAACGACCAUUACUCAGAGGUUAUUGGUAAACAGAUGGGACACAAGGUCUUUCUCGUCUAAAACACCAAGAAUUGACUGCUGACUCGAAUGAGAAGAGGUUUAGAUGGUCGUGACAAAGAAACCACUGGUUUCACUUAGUGGGCUGGGAAUGCCCCCUUUCAAGGAGACUAUAUGCAGAAGGAGAGUAUUUUGUUUCAGGUGCUUGGAUAUGAUCACGUGGUCAGAUUUUUCAUGAGCAAUAGCACCUUGACAUUUCGUGGGUACAUUUUGUUCAAAGGCUCGCACAUGCCCAACAAGCACAGAUACAUUAAAUGUCGUGCAUUUCUAUAUAAGAUCCUUGAAAGCGGUAAUCUAUUUCAGGCGGAUAAUCUGGCUCUCUAUCUUGACACACAGACUUGCGACCUUUGGGUUGUCACAUUAUAGGAUGUCGUUUAGGUUUCAAUGAGUUUAAAAGUUUGGCAUGUCAUACAUAUUGUAUGCUGUAUGUAGCACAAGUGGAAUUUAGCCUUUGUUGAUAACUCGGUUGAAUUGUAAUUGUAACUUCUUUUAGUUUAUGUUGUAUACAUUAUGAGUAAAGAAAUUGGUUUUCCUGUUUGAGUUUUUAGUA
Molecule: non-coding RNA, 1645 nt
Organism: Nicotiana tabacum (common tobacco)
Lineage: Eukaryota; Viridiplantae; Streptophyta; Magnoliopsida; Solanales; Solanaceae
Source: RefSeq, a predicted model, not a curated record